GGUUGGUCCAAGAGCAGUGGUGUUUACAACUAACUGAUCACAACCAGUUACAGAUUCCUUUGUUCCUUCUCCACUCCCACUGCUUCACUUGACCAGCCUUAA
This 102-nucleotide Y RNA is filed under the name Propithecus coquereli (Coquerel's sifaka). RNAcentral describes it as "Y RNA (ENSPCOG00000006543.1)". It matches the Rfam family "Y RNA". Rfam says of the family: Y RNAs are components of the Ro ribonucleoprotein particle (Ro RNP), in association with Ro60 and La proteins. The Y RNAs and Ro60 and La proteins are well conserved, but the function of the Ro RNP is not known. The record is from Rfam by way of RNAcentral. Lineage: Eukaryota; Metazoa; Chordata; Mammalia; Primates; Indriidae.